UCGAGUCCAACAAAGAGGAGGAAGGCAGAAGGGAGAGCGACCAGGGCAAGAUCUAACCAUUUCUAUGAAACCAAGACGCUAUCCCAGAAGUAAACUCGUCUGUAUUGGAGAACUGAAGGUGAGCGUGGAGCCAAGGAAGGCCAGAGUUGGGGCUGAAAGGGGAGAUUUGGAGGAGGACCAUGGGCUUUCUCAAAGAAGAAAGUCCUCUCAGGCGGAGAGAAAUCCCAAGAAAAGGUCCAGGAACCAGAAUGCCUCUCUUCUGUGGAAACUGGGAUUGUGAUUUCAUUUGUGUGGGAAAGUCCCACACUCCGUGCUCUACCUUCCUCAUCAGCACUUCUGCUACAGAUGAGCUAGGAAGCCCAAGAGCUCCAGAAGCAGCAACAUCUCCCACACCACUGGUCCUAUUUCCAGUCCAGCCCCUCCAACCAUCACCCUGGGAAGCAUUUCUUCUGGACAUGUGAUCUGGCAAAGACUUCUUUUUAAUAAAAGCUUUUUUUAUUUUCAAAAUGCCUAAAAAGAUAAUUUCCAACAUUCAUCCUUACAAAACCUGUGUUCCAAAUUUUUCACCCCCCCUUCUCCCCAUAGACAGCAAAUAAUCCAAUAUAUGUUAAUAAACAUGUGCAAUUCUUCUAUAUAAAUAUUUCCACAUUUAUCAUGCUGCACAAGAAAAUUCAAAUCAAAAAGGAAAAGAGUGAGAAAGAAAAAAAGCAAGCAAACAGCAAUAAAAAAGGUAAAAAUACUAUGUUGUGAUCCACAUUGGGUUCCUAAUGUCCUUUUUCUAGAUGCAGAUGGCUCUCUCCAUCACAAGUCUAUUAAAAUUGCCUGAAUCAUCUCAUUGUUGAAAAGAGCCAAAUCUAUCACAUAAUCUUGCUGUUGCUGUGUAUAAUGAUCUCCUGGUUCUGCUCAUUUCACUUAAGAUCAGUUCCUGUAAAUCUCUCCAGGCCUUUCUGAAUCAUCCUGCUGGUCAUUUCUUACAGAACAAUAAUAUUCCAUAAUAUUCAUAUACCACAACUUAUUCAGCCAUUUUUCAGUUGAUGGGCAUCCAUUCAUUUUCCAGUUUCUGGCCACUACGAAAAGGGUGUCAUAAACAUUUUUGCACACUGGGUCCCUUUCCCUCUUUUAUGAUUUCUUUGGGAUACAGGCCCAGUAGAAACACUGCUGGGUCAAAGGAAAUGCACAGUUUGAUAGCCCUUUGGGCAUAGUUCCAGAUUGCUCUCAGGAAUGAUUGGAUCAAUUCACAACUCCAGCUACAAUGUAUUAAUGUUCCAGUUUUCAACAUUUAUCGUUAUCCUUUCCUGUUCUCUCCACCAAAGACCUUGACAUCAUUCAGUGUUUCAGCAUCAGAAAAGGAUUAGAUUUCCUGAGGAGAAAUGGUAUUAGAGACAUUAUUUCUUGUACAAAAUCAUUAAUAUGGAAAUGUUUUACAUAAUUGCAACAUGUAUAACUUAUAUCUGAUGGAUUACCAUGGUGGGGAGGAGAAGAAAUAGAAUUUGAAACUAAAAACUUUAAAUAAAAGCGCAAAAAAAUUAACUAAUAGACAAAAAGGAGAGAUCAAUAGAUUAGCUACAUAUAUAUGACAUCACAUCAAAUGUAUACAAAAAUAAUGUUUAAUAAAUCUAUG
Molecule: long non-coding RNA, 1621 nt
Organism: Sarcophilus harrisii (Tasmanian devil)
Lineage: Eukaryota; Metazoa; Chordata; Mammalia; Dasyuromorphia; Dasyuridae
Source: Ensembl